GACGAACGCUGGCGGCGUGCUUAACACAUGCAAGUCGAACGGAAAGGCCCUGCUUUUGUGGGGUGCUCGAGUGGCGAACGGGUGAGUAACACGUGAGUAACCUGCCCUUGACUUUGGGAUAACUUCAGGCAACUGGGGCUACUACCGGAUCGGAGCUCCUGUUGCAUGGUGGGGGUUGGAAAGUUUCGGCGGCCGGGGAUGGACUCGCGGCUUAUCAGCUUGUUGGUGGGGUAGUGGCUUACCAAGGCUUUGACGGGUAGCCGGCCUGGGCGGGUGACCGGCCACAUUGGUACUGAGAUACGGCCCAGACGCCUACGGGAGGCAGCGGGGGGGAAUAUGGCACAGUGGGCGGAAGCCUGUUGCGGCAACGCCGCGUGCGGGAAGACGGCCUUCGGGUUGUAAACCGCUUUCGCCUGUGACGAAGCGUGAGUGACGGUAAUGGGUAAAGAAGCACCGGCUAACUACGUG
RNAcentral lists this ribosomal RNA (468 nucleotides) under uncultured bacterium. Its description in RNAcentral is "partial 16S ribosomal RNA". It matches the Rfam family "Bacterial small subunit ribosomal RNA", at positions 28 to 507 of the family's 1533-position model. The record is from RNAcentral.